Molecule: ribosomal RNA, 450 nt
Filed under: uncultured bacterium
Lineage: Bacteria
Description: bacterial SSU rRNA
Rfam family: Bacterial small subunit ribosomal RNA
Source: RNAcentral
GGACCAGACUCCUACGGGAGGCAGCAGUGGGGGAUAUUGCACAAUGGGGGGAACCCUGAUGCAGCGACGCCGCGUGGGUGAAGGAGUGCUUCGGCAUGUAAAGCCCUAUCGGCAGGGAAGAAGCAAGACGGUACCUGACUAAGAAGCCCCGGCUAACUACGUGCCAGCAGCCGCGGUAAUACGUAGGUGGCAAGCGUUAUCCGGAUUUACUGGGUGUAAAGGGCGUGUAGGCGGGACUGCAAGUCAGAUGUGAAAAUUAUGGGCUCAACCCAUAACCUGCAUUUGAAACUGUAGUUCUUGAGUGAUGGAGAGGCAGGCGGAAUUCCGUGUGUAGCGGUGAAAUGCGUAGAUAUUAGGAGGAACACCAGUGGCGAAGGCGGCCUGCUGGACGAUGACUGACGUUGAGGCUCGAAAGCGUGGGGAGCAAACAGGAUUAGAUACCCGAGUAAU